Molecule: small nucleolar RNA, 218 nt
Organism: Stegostoma tigrinum
Lineage: Eukaryota; Metazoa; Chordata; Chondrichthyes; Orectolobiformes; Stegostomatidae
Product: small nucleolar RNA U3
Exons: 1
Source: RefSeq, a predicted model, not a curated record
GUGAUUAUUCUUUUAGGAAUAAUUUCUAUAGUUGUUUCCUGGAGAAAUGGGUUCUUGAGUGUUUGGUAUCACAAGCCAUGAGGAGGAUUUAGAGUAUUCUUUUUCUCAGCAGGAAGUUGGUCUGGAGUGUUGCUUAUUUUUACAACUGCUCUUUACCUUUGAUGAGUGUUCUGACUCCCUUGUGGGCAGUUAGAGGAAGAGAAUGCUUUCUUAGUGGU